This 2073-nucleotide long non-coding RNA is filed under the name Cricetulus griseus (Chinese hamster). RNAcentral's name for it is "lncRNA (ENSCGRG00015020736.2)". The record is from RNAcentral. Lineage: Eukaryota; Metazoa; Chordata; Mammalia; Rodentia; Cricetidae.
CACGAACUCAGAGGGUCAAGGGCCGGUCAAUGUGCACAUGCAUGUUCGUUCUCCUCUGGCAGCUGUGUUAAGGCCUCAAUCCGGAUAAAACAAAAGCAAUAAUGUAUGUAGGUCUUCCCGAAGCAGCGGUUCAGAAUGAUCCCACACUGUGAGCAAUUCUGCCAAGAAACAGAGAGCUUUUUUGGCCAAUGGCCAGGAAGACCUGCAAGAUGCCUGAAGUAGGACCAGAAAAGCCCUGUACAUGGCCUCUUCAGUAGAGGGAAAAGCUGGGAGUUUGGCAUCCUCAACAACUCCCAUAUGACCACAUGGCAAGACAACUACUUCAGGUAUCUUCUCAAGAGCCAGAAAUGUUUUUCAGCAAAGCUAUUUUCAACAGGACGAGGCACACUAUGAAGAGUCUCUCUCCUUGUCAAUAACUGAAGACAUUAAACGUGUGAAAUGCCAGCCAAAUCCAGUGAUCAACCAGGCACUGACUGAGCUUACUUUGUGAAAUAGUAGCCCACAAGGUCCAAACAAGACUGCUGUUUUUAAAAAAAAAAAUAUUAAUUUAUUUUUUUACAUUCCAAUCCCAGUUCCCCUUUCCUUCUCUCUUCCUACUCCCCCCGACCCCGCGCCCCUCCUCCCAUCUGCUCCAUGGAGAGGAGAGGGUAAGACCUCUCCUAGAAAGUCUUCUAAGUCUGUCCCAUUAUUUCCUUGAGGCAGGACCAAGGCACCUCUCUGUAGGGGACACAGUAACCACACCUGCUAGGGGCUGGCUACAGGUGACAUAGGGAAGGUUUAAGAGUGAGGGAUGCACACGUGGAAGCCCCUUCUUUCUUUUCAUCAUCGGCUUGCUGUACUUACUCUGUGCCCUGCCAGCUGGCUAGGUCGCUCUGUAAGUAAGGCAUCCCCCUAAUAAAUACCCUUAUAUUUUUACCUGACUCUGUACUGGUAAUUCCCACAUUACCUCCCCAAGCCCACACCCCUGUGUCUAGGCUAAGCAAGGUAUCUCUCCAUAUGGAAUGGGCUCCACUAAGUCAGUUUGCGCAUUAGUGUUAGAUCUUGGACCCACCGCCCGUGACCUCAUAUAUUGUCCCAGUCGCACCAUUGUGUCUUUGAGUCUUGUUUUGACAGACCGGCAGGUACCCACCCUGUGCUGUGGCAUCUGCAACAUAUUCUUUUAUGAUGAUAUGAGAAGGCUGUGUUGAAUCUUCUGAUGGUUCAGAGGCCAAGCAAGACCCCUUCUCUGUUUCCUCAGAGAAAUCUGGAGAGGAGAGAGAUGGUGACACAAAAUGAGGCCCAAAUAAAGCAGAUGGGAAGGCUCUACUAAAUGGUUACCCUCAUUUCAUUCAGGUAGGAUUGAGACUGAGGCUCCCCAAACAAAAUCUUAAUGAACAGGAGAGGUCUUGAAAAAUGCCUAUUGAGACUCGGGAAUGUAGAGAGAAAACUUACCAAGCUUACCAGUAUCACACAGUUGUAGAGUCAGGAAGACUAGAUGAUUGAAAUGUGAUAAAGAUGACUGUGAAGGAGAAGUACCCCAGAUAAAUGGAAGAGAUGAUGAGGAACUGAUGAAUGAACUUCUUUUAACUAAGAGUUGCCACACAUAAGGUUUUUCACAACAAAGAGCAAUGCUUAAAGCCAGAAUUCAAGUGCUGCUGGCUUCCUUUGUCCUGGCAUCUGGAAGGAAAGGAAGAAGGCCCAGGCAAAAGAUCCUGUUGAAGUCCUCAAUCCUGUGUACCUAUGUGAAGGAGAUAAGAUAAUAACCCUUCAAAAUAAUCCUGUUUGAAACAGAAACAUGGAGGCCUCCGUCUUGAACCUAUGUAUCUUCCUCUGAGAAAUCAUGCAAAAGAUUUUCCCCUGGGACAAGAGGGAAAUGGUCUGUGAAAGAAAGAACCUUCUACCUUCCAAGAUGCUGGCUUGUCAAUAGUUUUCAUGACCCACCCUCUCUCCCUAACUUCUUCCACCACUGUUAUUCAUCACUUCAUUCAUAGACUGAGUAGUCAACAGUGACGUGAAUCUUCUGGGAAUACACUGGUUUUUCCCCACGCUUGUAUUUAAUAAACAUGCCCGUGGCUUAGCAUGGGUAAAUCUGAA